CCCAAGGGAACACUGUGGCUAUGAAGACACAUUUCACAAGUUCAUGGAUGGUGAUGCUGCCAGGCCAUAAUGGAAAUGAAAAUCCAGGACAUGUGUCUAUUCUGGUAAGAACAAAUUGUUUCCCCUCCAUAGCAAAUGGGGACCUAUUAAUCAACCAGCCACCAGAUCCCCUCAGUGUGCUAUGGCACCUCAUUGAGGACUUGGUGAAGACAUCUGCUGCUGGAACAUCCAGCACUGAGCAGAGGGGACAGCCCAGGAAGUCUUAGUGUCGGAUACAUGCAUACUGCUGUGGCAACAUGGUGACAGCAAGCUCCAGGAAUGCAGGAAGCUUUGUUUCCCUAGGACAUUGCCUGGAAAACUGAUGUUCAAUACAGUGAUGGGUUGAAAGAACAAACAAAAUAAAGAACAGAGAAUAAACGAAUGAAGAUAUUGUGCUACUCUUCAGCUGUCUGUCCAGCCAAGAGGCACAUUUCCUGGUGUAAUACCUUUUUUCUAAGGAGAACAUCUCACACUUUAAGUGUAUACACAAAUCACUUGGGAAUCUUGUUAAAAUUUCGGAUUGGAUUCAGUAGCCUCAGGUGGGACCUGAGAGCCUGCAUUUUGGACAAGCUCCAGGUGAUGAUGGUGAUGCUGGUCCUGGAGCCUUACUCAAAGCAGCAAGUAUUUAAACCAUCUCUCACCUCGGUCUCUCUUUCAUGAAUGUGUCUUUCAAGUUUCUUCCCCUACCUGCUGAUGGCACCCAGUUAUUAAAAGAGGGCUUUCUGUGAACUUUUGCAGUGAGUGAAGAGUGC
Molecule: long non-coding RNA, 791 nt
Filed under: Homo sapiens (human)
Lineage: Eukaryota; Metazoa; Chordata; Mammalia; Primates; Hominidae
Description: HSALNT0401147
Source: RNAcentral